AGGAAUCUGCCUGGUAGUGGGGGAUAACGUCCGGAAACGGGCGCUAAUACCGCAUACGUCCUGAGGGAGAAAGUGGGGGAUCUUCGGACCUCACGCUAUCAGAUGAGCCUAGGUCGGAUUAGCUAGUUGGUGGGGUAAAGGCCUACCAAGGCGACGAUCCGUAACUGGUCUGAGAGGAUGAUCAGUCACACUGGAACUGAGACACGGUCCAGACUCCUACGGGAGGCAGCAGUGGGGAAUAUUGGACAAUGGGCGAAAGCCUGAUCCAGCCAUGCCGCGUGUGUGAAGAAGGUCUUCGGAUUGUAAAGCACUUUAAGUUGGGAGGAAGGGCAGUAAUUAAUACCUUGCUGUUUUGACGUUACCAACAGAAUAAGCACCGGCUAACUCCGUGCCCAGCAGCCGCGGUAAAUACGAAGGGUGCAAGCGUUAAUCGGGAAUUAACCUGGGUGUAAAGC
RNAcentral lists this ribosomal RNA (455 nucleotides) under Pseudomonas aeruginosa. RNAcentral describes it as "bacterial SSU rRNA". It matches the Rfam family "Bacterial small subunit ribosomal RNA", at positions 119 to 566 of the family's 1533-position model. The record is from RNAcentral. Lineage: Bacteria; Pseudomonadati; Pseudomonadota; Gammaproteobacteria; Pseudomonadales; Pseudomonadaceae.